Molecule: long non-coding RNA, 392 nt
Filed under: Homo sapiens (human)
Lineage: Eukaryota; Metazoa; Chordata; Mammalia; Primates; Hominidae
Description: HSALNT0000240
Source: RNAcentral
AGCAGGGUCUUCUGGGGUGUACCACCUCUGCCCUCACCCAGGCUCCACCACGACCAGCUUCGUCCACCCCCCAGGAGACCAUGAAGGCCCACGUCUGAAAUCCUCACUAAGCCCACCCUCCCAUCUCCCUGAACUACGGGACUAGCUGUGUCCUGCAGCAGCCCAGCAUGUGCCGUUGAGCUGGCCUUUUCUCAGGCCCAGUGCCCAAGGAGGAGCUGAUUGCAUAGGCUCAGAGUUUCCAGGAAGAGUGGGGACUCAGAUGUCUGCCCAGGUGUCUCCACCGCGUCCGCCAGGGCCUCCAGCUUUCCUAACCAGGACCCUGGCCUCUGGCCUUGAUAACUACCUACAAGUUUUCUGAUUUAUUCAUUAGUGGAUUUGUUCGUGAUCAGCCC